GUUGCAGCAGUCACGGUUAGUUCUACCUGGAAUCCUUGGGAUGUUUUUAUCCUAAACCAUACCCUUACCUAACCAUUUCAAAAAUGUCAAUUUGGGACGUCGCAAGGAUUCCAUGUAGCAAGGACAUUGCAUUGAGAAGUUACAGCAACAGCCCACACACAGGCACAAAAGGGGAGGAAUGUUCGGCGGAAGAGGUGGCAAAAAGCUAGGAAAGGGGACUGCAUGUGUGCCGCAACAAGGCAAAAUUAUGCUGUGACGUCGUCGCGGCAACGGCAUAAACGUAAUAUACCGACAAAUCAAGGAGCCAAUAGCGGAACUCUGAAAUAUAGUUGACAACAUUGGAGCAGUCAUUAGAGGAGAACAUGUUCAGGAGCCUGACAUUUUACGAACUUUACUCGCUAACACUGCGUAGAAACGGUGUUUUAGAUAUCAGGUCAAGAGGAUGUGUCCUACAAUAUCCAUGAUAGGAGGGUGUUUGCCCCCCUUUGGCCAUGCAUCGUGGGCAUCGAUGACAACUGCCAAUACACAACAACCCAGAGUCCAGAACCAGAUCCUGAGGACAAACAUCCUUCUGCAUCAAGGUCCUUUCUCAUGUUCAGACAGACUAUAUCCCACUACCUAAACUUGCGGUCAGCCUACAGCUAAUUCAUCCCUGCAACAGACUGAGCUGACCACCAUGCACUCUGAGGAUGGAUCUACGGUCGACGACAUCUUCUACUCCAAGGCUGGGCAAUUCUGGUGGAGGUCAACGGCAGAGCGGAGGUUUGAAGCUGCUUGGUCGUCUCUCCCCCCAAUUAGAGGAGGAUCUCUGGUCAAUGAAAGGUUUACCCAAUUAAUUGUUCCCUUCGGACCAUCUCAGUCUCCUGGCCAGGUUCCAGCUGGACUGAAACCCUGUGUAAUUUGGGCUGUUUGUGAUCAAUUAAUAAUCAGGAGGACCGAGGUCAAGUAUUUAAAAAUGUUUGUUCAAACUGUACAUGAUUUUCCCAUGGUGUGAUUCCAUGUUUUAUAAGUUCAUAAUUGUACUUAAUUGGUUCCUUGGGCUCACAUGGUUGUUUCCUACCUGAAGAGAAACUACUCAUCCCAAGGUCCAGAGGGGAUGGGAUGUCCUCUGAAGAAUUGUUUUUGUUUACAUGAAGAGAGAGCAAAACAAACCAAAAAGGUUGAAUUUAGUUCAAAGUUGGAAUUUAUUUGACAAAUUCUCUUACUGUUGAGAUUUGAAUGCAUGAAGCUUUUAGAUUUUAAAAGUUAAUAUUUUGUGAACAAACUGAGUAAACAAU
This is a long non-coding RNA of Oncorhynchus tshawytscha (Chinook salmon), 1277 nucleotides long. The record is from Ensembl. Lineage: Eukaryota; Metazoa; Chordata; Actinopteri; Salmoniformes; Salmonidae.